Molecule: ribosomal RNA, 450 nt
Filed under: uncultured bacterium
Lineage: Bacteria
Description: bacterial SSU rRNA
Rfam family: Bacterial small subunit ribosomal RNA
Source: RNAcentral
GUGGGGAAUUUUGGACAAUGGGGGCAACCCUGAUCCAGCCAUGCCGCGUGUGUGAAGAAGGCCUUCGGGUUGUAAAGCACUUUCGGACGGAACGAAAUCGCACGGGUGAAUAUCCCGUGUGGAUGACGGUACUGUAAGAAGAAGCACCGGCUAACUACGUGCCAGCAGCCGCGGUAAUACGUAGGGUGCGAGCGUUAAUCGGAAUUACUGGGCGUAAAGCGUGCGCAGGCGGCUUCGCAAGUCAGACGUGAAAUCCCCGGGCUUAACCUGGGAAUGGCGUUUGAAACUACGGAGCUGGAGUGUGGCAGAGGGAGGUAGAAUUCCACGUGUAGCGGUGAAAUGCGUAGAUAUGUGGAGGAAUACCGAUGGCGAAGGCAGCCUCCUGGGCCAACACUGACGCUCAUGCACGAAAGCGUGGGGAGCAAACAGGAUUAGAUACCCUUGUAGUCC